CAGCGAAGAGUGGAGGAAACAGUGUGACCAUUAUAGAAAUCCUGACUACCAGUAAUGCCAUUCUCACAAGAUAAUCAACUUAAGUACAGCCAAAAAGGACAAAAUUUUCAUAGCUGUAAUCAGAAAAACUUGUCUUCAUUUACCUUGGAGAAGUUAUGC
Molecule: long non-coding RNA, 159 nt
Organism: Trichechus manatus latirostris (Florida manatee)
Lineage: Eukaryota; Metazoa; Chordata; Mammalia; Sirenia; Trichechidae
Exons: 3
Source: RefSeq, a predicted model, not a curated record